Long non-coding RNA from Megalobrama amblycephala (Wuchang bream), 1150 nucleotides. RefSeq lists it as uncharacterized. The transcript is spliced from 3 exons. The record is from RefSeq and is a predicted model, not a curated record. NCBI's taxonomy places the organism in Eukaryota, Metazoa, Chordata, Actinopteri, Cypriniformes, Xenocyprididae.
GACUUUUCUCAGUGUGUUGAUCACGAUUUAUUUGGAUAUUCAUACGAUGGCUGAAGCAGUGGUGAGCGUCCAGCGUGCGACACGGUAAACAGAUCAACAUUGUAAACGAAAUUCUACAAAACUUCAGUGAAAAAAAAAAAAAAAUAAAUAAAAUGAUCAUGCGACGCGAUAAAAUAGCUUCUAUUCCCUGCAAACGAUACCAUUAAAAAUGUUAACGUUCCACUUAAUGGCAGAAACAAAACAAAAGGUAAGCAAGAAUCCGUAUUAAUUUCAAUACGAGUAAUAGAGGGCGAUCCUGUCAAAAUGGCGGCGCCGCCCCGGCAUGCAACGAGGCGUGACGUCGGUUCGUAUUCUCUAUCCGUAAAUAGAGAAAAGUGGCAUAGGUUAAUUGUCACAACGAUCGAGAACGGUUGACACAGAAUCUCGAACCUCCAUCACCCUUUUUUCUUUUUAAAAAAAAAAAAAAACGCUAAACAGAGCAGAGUCUGCUUGCAAAAAGAGAACAUGACAAAGCUCAUAAUAAAACGAGAAUCGAAACUGACUUGGCUUUUCAGAGAUGACGAUAACUGAAGGAUUUGAAAUGUUAAACGACGCGGAGAUGGCGUUUUUAAUACUCAACAGAUGGAGUUCCCAUUGACAUGCAUUAUAUGGCUGACAGACCAUAACGGUUGGAGUUAGAAAUCAUAAUUUGUGUUCUACUGAAGAAACAAAGUCACCUACAUCUUGGAUGCCCUGGGGGUAGAGAGAUGAGGUGACCCAAUCAGUCAGCAGACGUGGUGAAUAAUCAGGCUGUUAGCUUGCUAAUAUGAGCAGGGGGAUUCUUCUCUGUACGGCCCCCUGUGACUCCUCUCUCAUUACACAAUCCCCACAGGAGAUCUUCAGCCUUCACUCGCACACCUUGCAAUGAGAACGUCCUGCCUUUGCCACUUUAAUCCCUGUUCUGAGACCAGUGUUUCGAAAUUGCACCAUAGUGUGUCCCAGUGGGGUUUUUCAGAUCUGAGACCAGUUUUCUCUCCCACACCACUUAAUGCCCCUGAGAAAUGUUUUCCAUACGUUAAUGCUGAUUUGUACGCAAUAGGGUACAUAAUAUUGCUAUUUUAAUCAUUUGUUCAAAUGUUUAACAAACCAUGAAAAUAAAAUACACACUAGA